GACGUAGGGUGCAAGCGUUGUUCGGAUUCAUUGGGCGUAAAGGGUGCGUAGGUGGCGCUGUAAGUCGGGUGUGAAAUUUCGGAGCUUAACUCCGAAACUGCAUUCGAUACUGCGGUGCUUGAGGACUGGAGAGGAGACUGGAAUUCAUGGUGUAGCAGUGAAAUGCGUAGAGAUCAUGAGGAAGACCAGUGGCGAAGGCGGGUCUCUGGACAGUUCCUGACACUGAGGCACGAAGGCCAGGGGAGCAAACGGG
RNAcentral lists this ribosomal RNA (253 nucleotides) under uncultured bacterium. RNAcentral's name for it is "partial 16S ribosomal RNA". It matches the Rfam family "Bacterial small subunit ribosomal RNA", at positions 524 to 776 of the family's 1533-position model. The record is from RNAcentral.